CCAGACUCCUACGGGAGGCAGCAGUGGGGAAUAUUGCACAAUGGGGGGAACCCUGAUGCAGCGACGCCGCGUGAGCGAAGAAGUACCUCGGUAUGUAAAGCUCUAUCAGCAGGGAAGAAGAUGACGGUACCUGACCAAGAAGCUCCGGCUAAAUACGUGCCAGCAGCCGCGGUAAUACGUAUGGAGCAAGCGUUAUCCGGAUUUACUGGGUGUAAAGGGAGCGCAGGCGGCCUUGCAAGUCUGAUGUGAAAGGCCGGGGCCCAACCCCGGGACUGCAUUGGAAACUGCGUGGCUAGAGUGCAGGAGGGGCAGGCGGAAUUCCUGGUGUAGCGGUGAAAUGCGUAGAUAUCAGGAGGAACACCGGUGGCGAAGGCGGCCUGCUGGACUGCAACUGACGUUGAGGCCCGAAAGCGUGGGGAGCAAACAGGAUUAGAUACCCCAGUAGC
Molecule: ribosomal RNA, 446 nt
Filed under: uncultured bacterium
Lineage: Bacteria
Description: partial 16S ribosomal RNA
Rfam family: Bacterial small subunit ribosomal RNA
Source: RNAcentral